GUAAGAUCAUAGACUAGAAAGUCUUCCGGGAAGGGAAAAUGGAAUAUAUAUAUAUAUAUUUAUAAAACUUUGUCUAUAUAUAGCAAACUUGUCUUCAUUUUCUCCAUUUUAACAACAUAAUACAAAGCGAGUAAAGAGAGAAUAGAGAGAGGGAAUACAACUGGUGCAGUAGAGCAAAAAGCUAGCGAACAUCCAAGAAGCAAACAAGAAGAUAAAAAGCAAAACAAGCACUCCAUAGGGUAAACUCUACAACUUUUCUAAAUUCAACUUUUCUUAUGUAAGGACCUUGAUCUAUGUAAAUAAACAUGGAUCACACUUGUUUAAACCUAAAUAUGAUGGAUCUUUGUGGUAGAUAUCAUAGAUUAAGAAAAAAGUGUGAAGGAACAAAGAAUGAACUAAGGAACUUAAGCUAGUUUAGGUUAAAAACCUAAAUUUUGGGAUUAAAAUUGUAAAACUAUAACUUUAAGCAUAUAAUAAAAUUUUGAGUGAAGCUUGUUGUGUAUGGUAGAUCUAUGAGUUAAUGAAGUUCUUUGAAUGUUUGAGACUCAAAUCCUAUAUAGAUUAUUUUUGGUGAUUUUUCUACCAAAGCAGGACAGGGCUGAAACCUACUGACUUAAUUUUUAUGUGACUGUUUCCGGUAUUAAACAUACAUGGUGUAUUAUGGAAUAAAUUCUGGAAUUGUGAGGUUUGAUACAUGGUGGUAUAAAUUGUAUUCUUUCCGAAGAUGAACAAAAAUGGACUUGUGAUGAAGGAGAUAUAACCUAAAUAAAAUUGAAAUUUGUAACAUUAAAACUACCAUAACUUGAGUUCUAGAACUCAUUUUGGGAUGAAAUUUAAAGUGAAGUUACUCAAUCAUAUAGAGUACCUAUUGUCCAGGUUUUAAAAUUUUUGGAAGAAUUUUUAAAUUAUAAUAAAUAUUAUAAUUUUGGACAAAAACAACCCCUAAAUAAAAUACUAAAAGAAAAGGAAAAAUCUGAAAAUAUCAAAGUAGGUCCAUAAUAUAGUUAACUAAGUGGGGCCUGAAAGAUAAAAAAUAAUAAAUUGAUUAAGGAAAUUUAAUGGAGAAAAUAGGGUUAAGAAAAAUAAAUAAAAAUUAAUUAAAGUAAAAUUGAAAAAUAUGUAUUAUAAUUUUAUUGGUUAAAACGCGUUAAUAUGGGACAUGUGAACUUAAGUAAAUGUUAAUUAGACCUUAACAUAGUGAGGUAAUAAAAAUUGGUAUAACAGGAUGCUCGGAAACGAGUUUACGUUACACGGAAAUAUCGAAACGGUUGUACAAAUAGUUACCAACGAUAACUAUUAAUAAUAAUAGUUAAGUUAUUUAAAUAAAUCAUUUUGGAUAUUGUAGGUUGUCAUUCGAAGGACUUUAGUAACGUAGACGAGUGAAAUACACACUUAAAAUACAAGUUCUCGUACUUGCGUGCAUUUAUAAUUGUUCAAUUUAUCGAACUGUAUUAAUUCAGUAAAGUUCUUGUUUAUUUCAUUAACUGUUUUUGAUAAGUGAGUUUAUGCCAAUUGUUUCAGCAAACUAAGUGAUGUUAUUCUUUAAAUUAUUUAAUUUAUUGAAUAUCCUCUUAAGAUGGUUAAUUUAAAUCCAUUCUAAAUUACGUUGGUGCAAAUUUUGAUGUUAAAACUGAGAACAACCACCCUAGAAAUAGGGGAUUUUGUGUUAUGAUAAGUUAAUCGAUAUAUAUUGUCAAAAUACAGUAUAAAGAUGAUAUUGCGCAUAACAUGGGUGUCGUUGGGUUCAUCCCCUAAUGAUACUUUAUAGAGAAUUCAGUCAAUGUGACUAUUGAACAAAUUUAGAGAAUUCUCCAUCCAAGAUUGUUGAACAAAUGUUAUUUAGUUCAUGGUUUUUUUAAUGGCCACUCAAUUUUGAAAUCAUAUGAACCUUGAGAUUACAAGUUCUUUUCUUGUGAAAAUGUGUUUGAAUUCUUAUUUGUUCUUUAGAAUGUUAUUCAGUGAAUGUCAAAUAUAUUAUCUUUUAAUUGUAUUCUUCAUACAUGUUAAACAAUCUAGUUGCCCACUCUUAUGAAUUUGAUAUUUUUCAACUAAAGCGGAAAACUCUGUAGGUUCGGGGAAAGAUAAAGCAAAAGAAAAAACGAAGGAAUAAAUAAUGUAUUGUUGUAAUAGAAUAUUUUAUAUUAAAUAAUGUAACUUAAUUUGUAAUAGUUUAUUACAGCUGUAUUAAUUUUGAAUAAAUUUGUAAUAGUAACCGUUGAAAGAUAUGUAUAAUUACAAGAUUUAUUAUAUUUUCAAAAGUAAAAUGAACAGCAUUAACUUUGAAUUGGAAAAUAUCUCGUAUUGACUUUGAAAGUCUAUGAUCUUAUAUUUUGGAACGAAAGGAGAAAGUACUAUAAAUAUUAAAGAGGAUAGACGGAAUUGUGUAUUCAGGACAAGUUAUAUCUUUAUUUCACAGUAAAUAAUGUACAAAAUAGAAAUCACCCAUCAGUUAGAACUCUAGUUAGAAAACUUAAUUGCAGGCAUAGAAAUCACAAAACCAUACCCAGAGCAACAGAUCCCAGGUUGCAAGAUGAUACAAGGUCCCAGAAUUGGCGCUUCAAAAUCCAUCCCGCUUUCUCGGGGAAAAAAUCACAUAUUUUGAAGCCUUGAGAAUGAUAUAUAUUUCUGUUUUCUUGAUUAGUUAUCUACAGCAAUUCGUCAAUCCUUCCCACAACACCUUCAUAACCAAACAAGAACAAUGAGCUAAUCACAUAAACAAACAUCUAUUCCGACUCCAUGGAUUUUUCAGUUGUGACGUUUAAACCAAAAAUAGAAUACUCUUUCCAAAAUAUAAGAUUAUUAUUGUCUUUUUAAAGUCAACUUCAGACAUUUUCAAAUUCAAAAUUUGACAUGAAUAUUUUAAAUUUUAGUUAAUGCGUUGAUGUACUACUCAUUGUAAGAUUUAUAAUUUCAUAAUUUUAAUAAAUCAAUUCAAUUUUGAGUUUGAAAAUGUCUCAAAUUGACUUUCAAAGGUCAACAAUAAUUUUAUAAUUUGGACCAGAGGGAGUACUAUAUAUUUAUUGAUGAAUACAAAGGCCCCAAAACCGAGUAUUUAAUGCAUCAACAAAAUUAUGGAAGCAUAAUAAAGAGAAGGAAAUAGGAUAAGCUAAGAAUCUUAUGCACAAUAUUGAACCCACCGAGCACUAGAGAGGUCAAAAUUUUACUGAAGAGUUCACAUAUUAAAGCUCUUGAAUCAGAGGAAUUUUGUAGCCAGCCACAACUUAUAGGGUAUUCUAAGAACAAAACUUUACCGAAUCAAGAAUAGAACCAAACAAAGAUCUGAUAUGCCAACCUAAUAACAGAUCUCGACUGUUAAUAAUACCCAAGAAAUAUAUUAUAUACUCGUGUUUCAAAAUAUUUGAAGAUGAGAAAGAGUAUCUUAUAUAAAAAUAUAAGCAAGUGUAAAAAAACUGAACAGCUUUAGAUUUACUCAACGAAAACAUAGAACCAGACCAUCAAAACUAAAUUUUGAUAAAAGGCACAAAGUAGACAACAGCUGCAAAUUGUAUCCUUUUUUCAAUGUUUUUGUCUUUAAUUCUUGCAUUUUAAUGCAUCAUAAAAACAUAGUAAUUACAUAGCCUAGUCUUCUAGGCCUUUACACCUUCACUGCUAUAGUUGUUCUAAACAAGAUUAGAAACAUAAUACAGAAUAUACCCAUCAAUUUUCUAGUCUCCACACCACCCUCUAGCAUCAGCAUUGGCGGGUCAUUGAAGCGUUAUCGGAGGUAUCUAUCUUCAAUGUCAAAUUAAUUUAUUUAUUCCAUAUAACGCCGUUGUUCGAGCUCUUAAAACCUCUCUAAUAAUAGAGGGAAUGUUGUGCACAAUCAACAAACGAGUGUUCUAAAAAUCCCCGCCUUGGUCCGCCUAGGCGCUAGGCCCCCUUGGUGCCUGACCUCGCCUAGGCGUCAGGCCUCCCUGGCGCCUCACCUAAGCUCAAGGCGGUAAAGAAAUCCUUCCAAAAAAUUAGGCGGGACCUAGGCAGGGUUUAGGCGGGGAGGUUUUUUUUAUUUUAAUAACUACCCAAACCAGAUAUAUUUAUUUUUCUAAUGAUUUACCAUAUUCAUAAUACAGGUUGUAGCAUAUCAAAUCACAACAAAAAGUGAACAAUGUCAAGACAAAAUAGAUAAUUUUACUAUAGUUGUAAUUUUUUGAACUUGUACCAACUUCAAAUUAUAUAAAUGAUGAUACAUUUGUAAUAUUUAGUUUAAUUCAAAAUAAUUCUUUAAUUUAUGUUUAGUUUUUUAAGUUUAAUAUUGAAUUAAAUUCUUGAAAUUUUAAAUUUUAUUAUUUAAUAGCAAUCUUGUUUAUGAAUAAAACUAAUAUGUUAAAAAUAUGUUUGAACUUUGAACAAUUGCAUGUUUGUAUUUGAACUUUGACAUUAACAAUAUGAAUGUGUUUGAACUUUAAGCAAAAGCUUUUAUUAUCUUUAUUAUAGAUUGUUUUACUUUAUAUUAUUGUUUUGUUUGGAUAAAUGUAAGAUAAAAUAUUAAAAUCGGCUUAAAAUAAAAAAUUCCGCCUAGACCCCUCCCAGGCCCCCCGGUCGCCCGCCUCCCACCUAGCGCCUUUUAGAACAUUGCAACAAACCUUGCCAUUUGUGGGAGCCACGUGCACUGGGUAUGAAUUUUUUUCAUUAUUAUCUUAUUAAAUGUAAAUAAAAUGUGUUUCAUCUUAUUAAAUACGCUAAAAUAAUUAAAAUCCACAUGGUAGCUAAUAUAUGGUUAUGUAUUAUGUGUCAACCUUGAAUGAAUACCUUUGCAAAUAGGGUAUUAUUCGAACUAUGAAUUCACUUACCCAAAAAAAGAGAAAAAAGGACAAAAAAGGAAAAAAAGGAAUAAAGGAAUAAAGGAAUAAAGGAAUAAAAGGAAUAAAAGAAAAAAAGAAAAAACAUACUUAAAGGCGCUAUAGUGUUAUAUUGGUGUAAUACCCUAAUUCAUGCAUUAGGCAAGAGAGAUGGUGUAGCUUAGUAUCAAGUACACAACCACAUGAUUUAAAGCCAUGAUCCUGGGACCAAGAGUUUACUAAAAUGAGGACUUUGGAUGUUUAGAAAGAGACUUAUUUUUUAGAUUAAAGACAAAAAAAUUCAAGAAGAAAAGGGAUACAAUAAAAGUGGACAACUAGUAUACAAAACAAACUAAAGUGGAAAGAAUGCAUGCCCUUAACAAAGGGCAGUCCCCAAUCCCUAUGAAUACCAGAACUAGCUACACCUUGGAAUGCUCUUAUAGAGGAUCGUUUCUUAGUGAUACUUGGAGCAUAGUAUUAAUAGUUUAUUGAUUCUAGCAAACAAAGCCAAACAUCACGUGAACUCUGUGAGACUCAGAAAUCAGAAUUUAGAAUAAAUGGAACAAGGUGCCUUAGUUUCGAUGGUUAUUACUUAUAAGUGGCCGCCUGCUUCAAGUUUUCUUGUGUUGAAAAACGAAGCCAACUCUAAUCAGCAUGGAAGAUGAUAUCUGGCGAUGUAUGUUGAGAAAAACUAAAUGUAGUAAUUCAGAAAGGCUACAGACAGCUAAGAGAACAACUUUUAUCAUAACAAGCCAACUCGUUACGAAUACAUAUGUAAUAUUUCUAAUCUAUUAAACACUCAUUGUUUAUCUGUAGGUACCAAAUACAUAAAUUUUAUAUUUAAAAAAAAAAUUAAGACAAAAUAAACAAAAUCUAUUAAUUGAACACAUUAUUUGACUUGAAAUAUUUGCAGGAAAAAUAAAAUAUUUCUGCAUCGGGAUGAAUGAUGAUCAGGUUGACAAUGAAUUAACAAUACUAGCUAUUCUACACCGGUGCCUUUUCUAGCUUUUGAACAGACGUACACGAACUUUAGAAAUUUGAGCAAGUUUUAUAAGACAAAAGGCAAGCUAUUUCAAGAGACUCAAGGGAGCAGAAACUAUGUCACACCAUUUAGCAAUUACUAUCUGUGUUACUCGGACUCACCAUUUAUGGUGGAGUACCCGUGUCGACACGACACGACACGGGUACGGGUGCGGGAUCCGUACGGGAUCCGGCCACAGAAAUCGGAUACGGCUGUUUUUGAAAGUGAUUCAUCGGAGAAAAAGAAGAGCCGAGGAAGGAGGAGGAAGAAGAAAGAGAAAAGACCGAAGAAAAAAGAGCGAUAAACUUACCGUGGUCGGCUUUUUCUUCUUCUCCAACGAGCCUUUUUCUUAUUUUUCUCCAACGAUCUGAUAAAUCGAUUAGAUCUGUGAUUUGAAAUAUCCUUGAAAAAUUACAAUUAGGUACCCUAUAGUUUUAAUAAUUUUUUUAAUUUAGUCCCUAAGGUUUUCUGAAAGUUCAAAAUAACCCUUAAAAAAAUUACAUAUGAGUUCCUGUAAUUUUGUUUUCUUCUAUUUUAACCCCUGAAGUUUCAGUAGUUUCAGUUAUGCCCCUGUUUCUUUAUAUUUUUGGAUCCAUAUCCACGUUUCCUCUAUUUUUUGACUUCACGUGUCCAACACCUAGAUUCGUAUCCGCACUCGACACCCGCACCCGAGUCCGAGUAACACAGAUUACUAUGUUGGAAUAUUCCUUAUUACCAGAAAACAAUAAACAAUUGAAUGAAGCAUUGGACCUUUAGUGGGUAAUGAGAAACAAAGUUACCGUUUGUAUCUCUUUUUGGAACCACAAGGGCAGAGCGCAUUUCUACUUAUUUGCCCGCUCUUAGCCAAGUUUGACUGAGCAACAUCCAUUGGUGUUGAUCCCAUCAGCUUUUGGACCUACAGAACAAAAUUGUCAAAAGUGAGACGAUGAUAAAUCAAGAAUGUUUUCAAUUAUGCAAGGACAUAAUAUAAUGACGAACAAUUGAGACAGUAGUUCUCUACUAUGGCAUCUAAAAUAUCUGGAAAAAGGGGAUGACCGUAAUUUCCAGCCAGAUUGAAUUAACAAUUGGCCACUGAACUAAAUUUUUCAUAACACUUCAGCCCAUGGGAAUAUCUGAUCAUAUGGACCUUCACUCUGCGUAUGAUAAACCAAAAGAAUAAAGGGCCAACAUAAAGAAGGGGUCGGUUAAAACUAAAUAUUAAUGUGACAACAUCUGCUAGUAUUUUGACCUGGGAACUACCCCUUUAGAAUAAAUUGCUGGAGACUGAGAUGGGUUUUCUCCUCAUGAGAAUAUGUAUAUACAUCAUUAACUUUAAGUGUCAUAAUUUACAACCACGCAUGAUUCUUUUAAAGCGCAGUUCAUUCAACCUCAGAGAAAAAAAAAAAUCUAAACACUAAAAAAAUCAGCAUUACCAAAAUAACAAUAAUAAAAUUGUCCCGAAUGUGGACAGCAACUUACUCUUGGUUAGUGGUUACUCGAUCAGCAACAACCCGAAACAGAAGAUUUUGGAAGAAUUAGGGAAGGAAAGUGUGGGGGAGCAUAGCCUGUCCAAAUGACGCACCAAGUAUGGAACAACAUAAACCACAUUUUUUAUACAAAACACGCCGAAAGGAGAAUAUUUUUCUAUUCUAAUAGAAGGCUAAUAAACAUUAAUAAAAAAAAGGAAAAUAUAUUUUCUCCGCGUCCAAACAGAUGUACCCUUUACUCUCAUCUUUAAAACUGAAAACUUGACAACUUCGUUCAAAUUUAGUAACUAAAAUUGGCAUAAGAAAUUUCCUACUCGUUUUAAUAGGAAUAGACAUCAAACAAAUCCCAACAAAGACAAAAGAACAUACUUUUGUUCAACAAAUGCCACUAUAAAUGUGCAACAGAAUUUUUAAGCUUACAAGAUUAGAUUUAACACAAAAACUGUUCAACAAAGCUAAGCCUCUGUGAGUAAGUUACACUUGCAUCAUUCUAAUAUGCACAUAUAGCAAAGAAAACUCAUAUAGUCAUACGCAACAAAAAUACUUGCACAAUAACAGGGCUACCUGGCUGGUUUCCAUUAUGGGAGUAUUUUCACAACCUCAUAUAUUAAACUAAAAUCAUUCUGGAGUAUGUGAAAGAACAUAAUAGUUGAAUGCGAGUAAUACCUCGGCCAUACUCUUUGGCAAUGGCUUCCCUUCCUCUUUUAACUUCUCCAUUUUCUUCUGAGCUUCUUUAGCCCAAGUAAACUUUGCUAAUACAUUUUCAACAUCAGCAAUAGUGCAAUUACAAUGUUUAGCUGCUUCUUGCUUUUGAUAAUUUUGAAGAUUCUGCAACAAGCAAUUGCAUAAGAAUUAAUAAAUAAAGAAAUAAACAAAAUAAGGUAAAAGUAGUGAGCCAAAUGUUAUUAUUUGCCAAUACAGAAACAAUCUAUAGCUACAUUUAUACAAUAAUUGUUUGAUUAGAUUUGUUGGCAAGCGGGAGCUCAGCAGUCAUAAACCAAAAAAUAGACAAUAAACCUGCUUUGCAAGUUUUACUUUGUACAUUUACAGCUGCACUCUUUUACAUUUAGUGCAAAUAAGUAUGCACACACUUAACUAUUUUUUAUAUUGUUAGGAACCGCUAAACUUCUGUUUUCUCUUAACUUAUAGCUUGUCUAAAGAUAAAAGUGUAUCAGGCCUUCAUGUUGCUUAAAAUUCAUUAUUGAAUACUUCCAUACUGCAGAACUAGUCAAAAAAACAUUUUGAAUAGGUCAAAAAUAUCUGACUUUUGUUCUUAAAUUUGCUGCAUUUCUAGCCUCACGAGGUUUACCAGGGAUCUGUAGUUUCAUUCAUAGAUUUUUUAGAACUCUAAGCAUCAUGUAAAUCUAGUUGGGAGAUAUUUUUGUAUAGCCAAUGGGUUUUUUUUGCAAGGGAGGCUUUUUGUUCUCUUUUGCCUCUUUGAGUAUGUGCAUUUUGCAGAUGGGUGCCACACCCUGCAGCAUCGUUGUCACGGCGUCUCCUAGACGACGACUAAGCGUCCUAGCGCUAGAGAAGAACAGAAGAACAAGGCAACGCCUUGAACGCCGAGCCGCCAAGGCUUACCCCUUGGUAGUUGGCCCAAGAUCAAGUCAUUUUGUACUCAUGACUUAUCAUGUACUAGCUAUAUGGUGUAAUUUUUAUUAUAUAUUAAACUUGUAAUGUGUGAUAAUUGUGGAC
RNAcentral lists this long non-coding RNA (8960 nucleotides) under Panax ginseng (ginseng). Its description in RNAcentral is "long non-coding RNA (PGIN_LNC018268)". Lineage: Eukaryota; Viridiplantae; Streptophyta; Magnoliopsida; Apiales; Araliaceae. The record is from RNAcentral.